This 292-nucleotide ribosomal RNA is filed under the name uncultured bacterium. RNAcentral's name for it is "partial 16S ribosomal RNA". The record is from RNAcentral. RNAcentral also lists the same sequence under 1 other name.
GGACUACCGGGGUAUCUAAUCCUGUUUGCUCCCCACGCUUUCGUGUCUCAGCGUCAGUGCUAACCCAGGGGGCUGCCUUCGCCAUCGGUGUUCCUCCAGAUCUCUACGCAUUUCACUGCUACACCUGGAAUUCCACCCCCCUCUGCCGCACUCUAGCCUCGUAGUUUCCAACGCAGUUCCCAAGUUAAGCUCGGGGAUUUCACAUCGGACUUUCGAAACCGCCUGCACACGCUUUACGCCCAGUAAUUCCGAUUAACGCUUGGACCCUACGUAUUACCGCGGCUGCUGGCAC